Cervus elaphus (red deer) is the source of this 844-nucleotide long non-coding RNA. RefSeq lists it as uncharacterized. The record is from RefSeq and is a predicted model, not a curated record. The transcript has 3 exons. NCBI's taxonomy places the organism in Eukaryota, Metazoa, Chordata, Mammalia, Artiodactyla, Cervidae.
GAUGCUGUGAACUGAAAAGGCUGCAAUCUGUCCAAGAAGAAACAAUGCUUAAACAGAGAAUCAGAGCUGGCUAGAGAAAUUCACAAGAAGAGAAGGGUAUCUGAAGCGAAGACCAUGUCAAGAACUACUAUAUGAAGCCAGACACUUCUUUUUGGCUACCGACCGAAUUCCUAUUUCCUAUCUAAGGAACACCUUCAGCUCCCAACUUGUUCAGUACUGAGGAGAAAAAUAAGGACGAGGAUGUCAGUGGCAGAAGGCCUUCUAUGUACCAGGCACUCAGAUGUUAAGCCUUGUGACAAAGGGUGAAGCCAGUACUAUGAGGAGCCUCUCUGGACCUGGGUGGCUCUUCCCUGACAGGUCAGCUGUCCAGUCAUCUCUGUGGCUGUCCCAACCUAAGGGUUGGUUCUGGAGACAGAGAUCAAAGUCUGCAUGAAUCAAAGGAGUAAAACACGAGACUUAGCAUCUCAGCAAGCAGCCUCCAAACUCCAUCCUCUCUGGAAUCUCGAGGAGAAGCGAACCCUAAGCCUCACUGGGUGUGAUCCUGCAGAUCUGGGAUGCCUUCCAGGUUGGAAUGGAACUUCUUGGGAAGAGAAAAUAUCCCCCAUGAGCAGCAACCCCAUCAGGACCAGCAGGGUAUGAGGAUGGGGCGGAGGAACACAAAAUACAGAGCAGACAAGGGUCCAGGCUACUCUAUGGCCAGUGAUGGAGAGGAUUUGAGAGCAACCAAAGUAACCCCCUAAAUUUACAUCCUGUAGCCCUCUCACCCAUUACUGCCUAUUAAUCGAGACUUCGGUUUCUGAUAUGGUUACCCUCUCGGCUGUGAUAAGUCACUUCAGUUGUGUCU